UAUGUUCCUAUAAGUGCGAAAAAUUAGUCUCAAAUUUUGUGUUUAUUAUAUUAUUUGACAACAGAAUAGUAUUCAUGUAAUCGUACUUGUUUAUCAACAAAUUACUUUUAUUAUAUUGGUCAGUCAAGCGUUUCGUGAGUAUUUCUGUUUUAAAAUCCAAGUAUUCCUUAUUCGUGGACCUACGAACACAGAUACUUUAUAAUGUUUUUGGCAAUAUUGUGAACUAUCGUGUUACUUGAAAUAUUACAGACACAAGUCACUUUUUUCAGUAACGAUUUGGUAAUGGCGAUUUUUUUCUCCUUUUUGUUGAUUACAUUAACAGUAAUGUAAUUGCAUUCUUAGGUAACAAACGUAACAGUAACUUUUUAUUGUUACAUUAUACAUGUAAAAGACACAUGUCGCAAUUUGUUUUGCACAACGGCAGCUUUUAUUUCGGGAUUUGUAAGGAAGAAAUCGGAAAUGGAAACAAAGAGAUGAAGAAAGUAACGGAAAUAGUAACGAAUUACUUUUCCCGAUGGAUUCCGAAAUUAACAAUCUAAACUUCUGCAACGAUGAUCCUACUAUCUUCUGUUCUAAAACCAAAUCAUCCACUCUGAACUGAUGCUUCAGGAUGAUAUGACAUAAGACGAGAUACGGGACCUUGGUAUAUGGGACUAAAUCCGCGUGUUUGUAGAGACGCGCAUCUACCUGGCACGCGUGUAUAAUUAACAGAACGAUUACAUUGAAAUAUGUAAAUAAAAUGAAAACAUACAGUACGCUGUGCAAUCAAUGCGAAAUUUGUCAACGGAUCCAAGAAAAUGAUGGACGCUCAUACAAUUUAUAUGAUGUAAAAGGAAACGUACCACUGAA
Odontomachus brunneus is the source of this 849-nucleotide long non-coding RNA. RefSeq lists it as uncharacterized. Lineage: Eukaryota; Metazoa; Arthropoda; Insecta; Hymenoptera; Formicidae. The record is from RefSeq and is a predicted model, not a curated record. The transcript is spliced from 3 exons.